Molecule: ribosomal RNA, 1067 nt
Filed under: uncultured bacterium
Lineage: Bacteria
Description: bacterial SSU rRNA
Rfam family: Bacterial small subunit ribosomal RNA
Source: RNAcentral
AGUUUGAUCCUGGCUCAGAUUGAACGCUGGCGGCAUGCCUUACACAUGCAAGUCGAACGGCAGCGGGGGAAAGCUUGCUUUCCUGCCGGCGAGUGGCGAACGGGUGAGUAAUACAUCGGAACGUGCCCUGUAGUGGGGGAUAACUAGUCGAAAGAUUAGCUAAUACCGCAUACGACCUGAGGGUGAAAGUGGGGGACCGCAAGGCCUCAUGCUAUAGGAGCGGCCGAUGUCUGAUUAGCUAGUUGGUGGGGUAAAGGCCUACCAAGGCGACGAUCAGUAGCUGGUCUGAGAGGACGAUCAGCCACACUGGGACUGAGACACGGCCCAGACUCCUACGGGAGGCAGCAGUGGGGAAUUUUGGACAAUGGGCGAAAGCCUGAUCCAGCAAUGCCGCGUGUGUGAAGAAGGCCUUCGGGUUGUAAAGCACUUUUGUCCGGAAAGAAAUGGCUCUGGUUAAUACCCGGAGUUGAUGACGGUACCGGAAGAAUAAGGACCGGCUAACUACGUGCCAGCAGCCGCGGUAAUACGUAGGGUCCAAGCGUUAAUCGGAAUUACUGGGCGUAAAGCGUGCGCAGGCGGUUGUGCAAGACCGAUGUGAAAUCCCCGGGCUUAACCUGGGAAUUGCAUUGGUGACUGCACGGCUAGAGUGUGUCAGAGGGAGGUAGAAUUCCACGUGUAGCAGUGAAAUGCGUAGAGAUGUGGAGGAAUACCGAUGGCGAAGGCAGCCUCCUGGGAUAACACUGACGCUCAUGCACGAAAGCGUGGGGAGCAAACAGGAUUAGAUACCCUGGUAGUCCACGCCCUAAACGAUGUCAACUAGUUGUUGGGGAUUCAUUUCCUUAGUAACGUAGCUAACGCGUGAAGUUGACCGCCUGGGGAGUACGGUCGCAAGAUUAAAACUCAAAGGAAUUGACGGGGACCCGCACAAGCGGUGGAUGAUGUGGAUUAAUUCGAUGCAACGCGAAAAACCUUACCUACCCUUGACAUGCCACUAACGAAGCAGAGAUGCAUUAGGUGCUCGAAAGAGAAAGUGGACACAGGUGCUGCAUGGCUGUCGUCAGCUCGUG